AGUGAACGCUGGCGGUAGGCCUAACACAUGCAAGUCGAACGGCAGCACAGGAGAGCUUGCUCUCUGGGUGGCGAGUGGCGGACGGGUGAGGAAUACAUCGGAAUCUACUCUGUCGUGGGGGAUAACGUAGGGAAACUUACGCUAAUACCGCAUACGACCUACGGGUGAAAGCAGGGGACCUUCGGGCCUUGCGCGAUUGAAUGAGCCGAUGUCGGAUUAGCUAGUUGGCGGGGUAAAGGCCCACCAAGGCGACGAUCCGUAGCUGGUCUGAAAGGAUGAUCAGCCACACUAGAACUGAGACACGGUCCAGACUCCUACGGGAGGCAGCAGUGGGGAAUAUUGGACGAUGCGCGCAAGCCUGAUCCAGCCCUACCGCGUGGGUGAAGAAGGCAUUCGGGUUGUAAAGCCCUUUUGUUGGGAAAGAAAUCCAGCUGGCUAAUACCCGGUUGGGAUGACGGUACCCAAAGAAUAAGCACCGGCUAACUUCGUGCCAGCAGCCGCGGUAA
Molecule: ribosomal RNA, 506 nt
Filed under: uncultured bacterium
Lineage: Bacteria
Description: partial 16S ribosomal RNA
Rfam family: Bacterial small subunit ribosomal RNA
Source: RNAcentral